RNAcentral lists this transfer RNA (78 nucleotides) under Azospirillum sp. TSA6c. Its description in RNAcentral is "tRNA-Pro". It matches the Rfam family "tRNA". Rfam says of the family: Transfer RNA (tRNA) molecules are approximately 80 nucleotides in length. Their secondary structure includes four short double-helical elements and three loops (D, anti-codon, and T loops). Further hydrogen bonds mediate the characteristic L-shaped molecular structure. tRNAs have two regions of fundamental functional importance: the anti-codon, which is responsible for specific mRNA codon recognition, and the 3' end, to which the tRNAs corresponding amino acid is attached (by aminoacyl-tRNA synthetases). tRNAs cope with the degeneracy of the genetic code in two manners: having more than one tRNA (with a specific anti-codon) for a particular amino acid; and 'wobble' base-pairing, i.e. permitting non-standard base-pairing at the 3rd anti-codon position. The record is from RNAcentral. Lineage: Bacteria; Pseudomonadati; Pseudomonadota; Alphaproteobacteria; Rhodospirillales; Azospirillaceae.
CGGGGCGUAGCGCAGCCUGGUUAGCGCGGCAGUUUUGGGUACUGCAGGCCGUGGGUUCGAAUCCCACCGCCCCGACCA